UACGGAGGGUGCGAGCGUUAUUAGGAAUUACUGGGCGUAAAGCGCGUGCAGGCGGGAGAGUGGGUCUGUUGUUAAAGCCCGGGGCUUAACCCCGGAAGAGCAUUGGAAACUGUUCUUCUUGAGUUUCGGAGAGGAAGGGUGAAUUCCCGGUGUAGAGGUGAAAAUCGUAGAGAUCGGGAGGACCAUCAGGGGCGAAGGCGCCCUUCAGGACGACAACUGACGCUGAGACGCGAAAGCGUGGGGAGCAAACAGG
RNAcentral lists this ribosomal RNA (253 nucleotides) under uncultured bacterium. Its description in RNAcentral is "partial 16S ribosomal RNA". It matches the Rfam family "Bacterial small subunit ribosomal RNA", at positions 524 to 776 of the family's 1533-position model. The record is from RNAcentral.